GUUGACAGCUGUUGGUAGCGUGAAGCAUCGACGUUCUACUGGGAAAAGAUGGCAUUUGACUCUUUUCUAUGGCUCCACGUGAUAGAAUGAUGCUUUUAUUCAUAAAGUGAUCAACAAUGAAUUGAAUUCAUAAAUUUGUAAUGGCUCAUCCCGCAGACAUGAGUUAACAUGUGAUUUUGGCUAUCAGGUAACUGUUGGACUAGGCAACCUAAUUGAAUGAAUCAAAAUCAGUGAAAGCCCCGGCGACACCAGUGGAGAGCUGGACAUAAGCGGCUCAUCAACGGUUGGAGAAGAAGCGAAAAAGGAUGUUCAGCAAUCUCUUUUGAAACCCGCCAAAUUUGCGGGUGAACUGAAUCCAAUUGGAGCAGUAGGUCAAAAUUUGCGAAACGAAAAUCAAAUUACUUUGGCAACUAACCAGCCCAUCAUUGCCAGUGCAAUCGAUAACCGGAGGUCACUGAUGCCGUCGUUUAGCACUGGCCAAAACAGUGGACCACAUCAUCCACACAAUCCCUCGGAGAAAGCCAUCAAAUUAUGGAAAGAACACGGCAAGCUACUGUGGACAUGCUUAGUGCUCUCUACGGAAUUAUUUUGGUAGUUAUGGGCGUGGCCUUUCCUACUUCUCAAGUCAUUUCCAUCAAG
Long non-coding RNA from Daphnia pulicaria, 639 nucleotides. RefSeq lists it as uncharacterized. Lineage: Eukaryota; Metazoa; Arthropoda; Branchiopoda; Diplostraca; Daphniidae. The transcript has 6 exons. The record is from RefSeq and is a predicted model, not a curated record.